GACCGGAUCCCCCGCCUCUCCUUCCGAUCGUAACGCUUCCAAUUCAUCAUUCGCACAGCACCCGGACACCUGCAACAUCUUUCCGUCCGGAUUCAUCCCUAGCACCAAGCCGUGAUCGGCUCCCAACCGUCGGAAACCCAGCUCGGCAUUCAUCUACAGCUCAGUCCCCGGCUUCUCCGAGAUCCAGAUACUCCGCAUCAGCACCUCCCAUCGAUCCCGCGGCCAUCUCAUCUUCU
RNAcentral lists this long non-coding RNA (236 nucleotides) under Phoenix dactylifera (date palm). RNAcentral describes it as "long non-coding RNA (PDAC_LNC003270)". Lineage: Eukaryota; Viridiplantae; Streptophyta; Magnoliopsida; Arecales; Arecaceae. The record is from RNAcentral.